CUUGCGAAAUAGAAAACCAACCGUCCAAAAACCGAACUCUGGUCA
Molecule: small RNA, 45 nt
Filed under: Arabidopsis thaliana (thale cress)
Lineage: Eukaryota; Viridiplantae; Streptophyta; Magnoliopsida; Brassicales; Brassicaceae
Description: ATSL180620
Source: RNAcentral